RNAcentral lists this transfer RNA (74 nucleotides) under Pagrus auratus (squirefish). Its description in RNAcentral is "tRNA-Thr". It matches the Rfam family "tRNA". From Rfam's summary of the family: Transfer RNA (tRNA) molecules are approximately 80 nucleotides in length. Their secondary structure includes four short double-helical elements and three loops (D, anti-codon, and T loops). Lineage: Eukaryota; Metazoa; Chordata; Actinopteri; Spariformes; Sparidae. RNAcentral also lists the same sequence under 2 other names. The record is from RNAcentral.
GCAUUAGUAGCUCAGUACCCCAGAGCGCCGGUCUUGUAAACCGGACGUCGGAGGUUGGAAUCCUCCCUACUGCU